RNAcentral lists this ribosomal RNA (119 nucleotides) under Pteropus alecto (black flying fox). The record is from RNAcentral. Lineage: Eukaryota; Metazoa; Chordata; Mammalia; Chiroptera; Pteropodidae.
GUCUAUGGCCAUGCCACUCUGAACUAAGGCUGAUCCUUUCUGAUCUUGGAAGCUAAGCAGGGCCGGGCCUGUUAGUACUUGGAUGGGAGACCACCUAGGACGACCAGGUGCUGUAGGUU